RNAcentral lists this ribosomal RNA (479 nucleotides) under uncultured bacterium. RNAcentral's name for it is "bacterial SSU rRNA". It matches the Rfam family "Bacterial small subunit ribosomal RNA", at positions 330 to 801 of the family's 1533-position model. The record is from RNAcentral.
UGCGAACUCCUACGGGAGGCAGCAGUAGGGAAUCUUCGGCAAUGGACGGAAGUCUGACGGAGCAACGCCGCGUGAGUGAUGACGGCCUUCGGGUUGUAAAGCUCUGUUAAUCGGGGCGAAAGGUCUUCUUGCGAAUAGUUAGAAGAAUUGACGGUACCGGAAUAGAAAGCCACGGCUAACUACGUGCCAGCAGCCGCGGUAAUACGUAGGUGGCAAGCGUUGUCCGGAAUUAUUGGGCGUAAAGCGCGCGCAGGCGGAUCAGUUAGUCUGUCUUAAAAGUUCGGGGCUUAACCCCGUGAUGGGAUGGAAACUGCUGAUCUAGAGUAUCGGAGAGGAAAGUGGAAUUCCUAGUGUAGCGGUGAAAUGCGUAGAUAUUAGGAAGAACACCAGUGGCGAAGGCGACUUUCUGGACGAAAACUGACGCUGAGGCGCGAAAGCCAGGGGAGCGAACGGGAUUAGAUACCCUUGUAGUCCUGAGU